RNAcentral lists this ribosomal RNA (465 nucleotides) under uncultured bacterium. Its description in RNAcentral is "partial 16S ribosomal RNA". It matches the Rfam family "Bacterial small subunit ribosomal RNA", at positions 28 to 507 of the family's 1533-position model. The record is from RNAcentral.
GACGAACGCUGGCGGCGUGCUUAACACAUGCAAGUCGUACGGUAAGGCCCUUUCGGGGGUACACGAGUGGCGAACGGGUGAGUAACACGUGAGUAACCUGCCCACAACUUUGGGAUAACGCUAGGAAACUGGUGCUAAUACUGGAUAUGUGCUCCUGCUGCAUGGUGGGGGUUGGAAAGCUCCGGCGGUUGUGGAUGGACUCGCGGCCUAUCAGCUUGUUGGUGGGGUAGUGGCCUACCAAGGCGGCGACGGGUAGCCGGCCUGAGAGGGUGACCGGCCACAUUGGGACUGAGAUACGGCCCAGACUCCUACGGGAGGCAGCAGUGGGGAAUAUUGCACAAUGGGCGCAAGCCUGAUGCAGCAACGCCGCGUGCGGGAUGACGGCCUUCGGGUUGUAAUCCGCUUUCAGCAGGGACGAAGCUUUUUGUGACGGUACCUGCAGAAGAAGCACCGGCUAACUACGUG